AAUCAACGCUGGCGGCGUGCCUAACACAUGCAAGUCGAACGAGAAAGUCCCCGCAAGGGGAUGAGUACAGUGGCGAACGGGUGAGUAACACGUGACUAACCUGCCUUCGAGUGGGGGAUAACCCCGGGAAACCGGGGCUAAUACCGCAUAACAUCGCUGGGUGGAACUCCUGGCGAUCAAAGGGGUAAGACGCUUGAAGAGGGGGUCGCGGCUGAUUAGCUAGUUGGCGGGGUAACGGCCCACCAAGGCGAUGAUCAGUAGCCGGCCUGAGAGGGCGCACGGCCACACUGGAACUGAAACACGGUCCAGACUCCUACGGGAGGCAGCAGGGGGGAAUGUUGCGCAAUGGGGGAAACCCUGACGCAGCAACGCCGCGUGGAGGAUGAAGUCCCUUGGGACGUAAACUCCUUUCGACCGGGACGAUAAUGACGGUACCGGUGGAAGAAGCCCCGGCUAACUCCGUGCCAGCCGCCGCAGUAA
This 480-nucleotide ribosomal RNA is filed under the name uncultured bacterium. Its description in RNAcentral is "partial 16S ribosomal RNA". It matches the Rfam family "Bacterial small subunit ribosomal RNA", at positions 29 to 523 of the family's 1533-position model. The record is from RNAcentral.